This 78-nucleotide ribosomal RNA is filed under the name uncultured bacterium. RNAcentral describes it as "partial 16S ribosomal RNA". It matches the Rfam family "Bacterial small subunit ribosomal RNA", at positions 277 to 354 of the family's 1533-position model. The record is from RNAcentral.
CGAUGGAUAGGGGUUCUGAGAGGAAGGUCCCCCACAUUGGAACUGAGACACGGUCCAAACUCCUACGGGAGGCAGCAG